Molecule: ribosomal RNA, 511 nt
Filed under: uncultured bacterium
Lineage: Bacteria
Description: partial 16S ribosomal RNA
Rfam family: Bacterial small subunit ribosomal RNA
Source: RNAcentral
AUUGAACGCUGGCGGCAUGCCUAACACAUGCAAGUCGAACGGCAGCACAAUAAAGAUUUCGGUCUUUAUGGGUGGCGAGUGGCGGACGGGUGAGUAACGCGUAGGAAUCUGUCCUGGAGAGUGGGAUAACCCGAGGAAACUCGGGCUAAUACUGCAUGACAUUGAGAGAUCAAAAGCAGGGGACCGAAAGGCCUUGCGCUCUGGGGUGAGCCUACGUCGGAUUAGCUAGUUGGUGGGGUAGAGGCCUACCAAGGCGACGAUCCGUAGCUGGUCUGAGAGGAUGACCAGCCACACUGGGACUGAGACACGGCCCAGACUCCUACGGGAGGCAGCAGUGGGGAAUCUUGGACAAUGGGGGAAACCCUGAUCCAGCGAUGCCGCGUGUGUGAAGAAGGCCUUCGGGUUGUAAAGCACUUUAGGUGGGGAAGAAAGGUAGCGAGUGAAUAACUUUCUGCUGUGACGGUACCCACAGAAUAAGCACCGGCUAACUCUGUGCCAGCCGCCGCCGUAA